GUGGGGAAUCUUGCGCAAUGGGGGAAACCCUGACGCAGCAACGCCGCGUGAGUGAUGAAGGUCUUCGGAUCGUAAAGCUCUGUCGGCAGGAACGAUGGCUUCGUUGGCUAAUAUCCAACGAGGUUGACGGUACCUGCAAAGGAAGCACCGGCUAACUCUGUGCCAGCAGCCGCGGUAAGACAGAGGGUGCAAGCGUUGCUCGGAAUUAUUGGGCGUAAAGGGCGCGUAGGCGGCUUUGUAAGUCGCAUGUGAAAUACCAGGGCUCAACCCUGGAACUGCAUGCGAUACUGCAUAGCUUGAAUCUCGGAGAGGGUGGUGGAAUUCCCAGUGUAGAGGUGAAAUUCGUAGAUAUUGGGAGGAACACCGGUGGCGAAGGCGACUGCCUGGACGAAGAUUGACGCUGAGGCGCGAAAGCGUGGGGAGCAAACAGGAUUAGAAACCCGAGUAGUCC
This 451-nucleotide ribosomal RNA is filed under the name uncultured bacterium. RNAcentral's name for it is "bacterial SSU rRNA". It matches the Rfam family "Bacterial small subunit ribosomal RNA", at positions 354 to 796 of the family's 1533-position model. The record is from RNAcentral.